AACCAUAUAAUGUUGAAACAUUGGUUCUUGGCUGAUCACUGAAGUUAAGCAAUCUUGAGCUUGGUCAGUACCUAGACGUGUGACUGCUUGGGAAUACCAAGUGCUGUAA
Molecule: non-coding RNA, 109 nt
Organism: Acanthosepion pharaonis
Lineage: Eukaryota; Metazoa; Mollusca; Cephalopoda; Sepiida; Sepiidae
Source: the annotation of a GenBank genome assembly